UUCUUAGUGGCGGACGGGUGAGUAACGCGUGGGUAACCUGCCUUAUACAGGGGGAUAACACUUAGAAAUAGGUGCUAAUACCGCAUAAGCGCACGGGGCUGCAUGGCCCAGUGUGAAAAACUCCGGUGGUAUAAGAUGGACCCGCGUCUGAUUAGCUUGUUGGCGGGGUAACGGCCCACCAAGGCGACGAUCAGUAGCCGGCCUGAGAGGGUGGACGGCCACAUUGGGACUGAGACACGGCCCAAACUCCUACGGGAGGCAGCAG
RNAcentral lists this ribosomal RNA (265 nucleotides) under uncultured bacterium. RNAcentral describes it as "partial 16S ribosomal RNA". It matches the Rfam family "Bacterial small subunit ribosomal RNA", at positions 89 to 354 of the family's 1533-position model. The record is from RNAcentral.